RNAcentral lists this ribosomal RNA (253 nucleotides) under uncultured bacterium. RNAcentral describes it as "partial 16S ribosomal RNA". It matches the Rfam family "Bacterial small subunit ribosomal RNA", at positions 524 to 776 of the family's 1533-position model. The record is from RNAcentral.
UACGUAGGGGGCAAGCGUUGUCCGGAUUUAUUGGGCGUAAAGAGCGUGUAGGCGGUUUGGUAGGUCCGUUGUGGAAACUCGAGGCUCAACCUCGAGACGCCGAUGGAAACCAUCAGACUAGAGUCCGGAAGAGGAGAGUGGAAUUCCUGGUGUAGCGGUGAAAUGCGCAGAUAUCGGGAAGAACACCCGUGGCUAAGGCGGCUCUCUAGUACGGUACUGACGCUGAGACGCGAAAGCGUGGGGAGCGAACAGG